ACACAUGCAAAGAAAGCACGUAAUCAAAACAAGACAAAAUUGGGCGAAUUUCAUGCGCCCACAAAAUCGAAAAUUUCAGUUCAUUCUCAUUCUGUUUUGCAUCGUGUUCAGUCCUCUGAUUAUAUUCUUGUUAUCUUCGCGUGUUUGUUUUUGCCUCGUCGUCAGAUGUUUGAUAUAUACUUGGAUUAAUUCGUUCAAAUAACUUAUUAAGCGUGGACCAACUGGUGCAUUGAAACAAAAAAAAAUACAAAUCACUUAUCAAUAUCCAUAUGAGCACAACAACAACAACCAAAAAAACGUUUAUAUUUGUGUGAGUGUCUUGGCAGCAGUUACUUUAUAGAAUUUCCAUUACCCAGCGAAAAGAAACAGUAAAUAAUACACAUAAGAAGUAAGCAAGAAAUAAAAAUGAAAUGUAAAAUUGUGUGAGCUACCGAACUGACCUUAAUCAAAAGCAAAUAAAAUCAACAGUUACAAUAAAAGCAAAUAUAAAACGCGAAAAGAUGCCGCAAGCAGCAUUUCAAUGAAUGGAAAAUAAUAAAACCUAAUUUAAUUACAAUAAAAGAGAAAAAUAAAAUCAAAGAGACAAAGUAAAUAGAAUUUAAGGAUAAACAAUAAAAAUUUGUUAAAACUUGUGUGCAAUAGAUACUACAAACAUACAUACAUACAUACAAAAAAAUGAAAUAAAAUAAGAAAAUACUGUAACAAGUGAGUGUUUCUGUGCAUUUUUGUGUGAAAUCUUGCUCUACUACUUAUACAUUUGCCUGUGUGCUAAUCUAACCGUUAAAGCGCUCGCAAUCUCGCUGCUCCUCGAACGUGUCGUCCGUCAGCAUGUUACGGAAUUUUAUUUGAUUUGCAAUUGAAUUACAAUUGAACACAAAGAACUCGUAAAGAUAUUGAAAAAUAGCAAUAACAACAACAACAACUGCAAAAUAAUAUAUACACAAACAGAAGAUAGACAAAUCAACAACAAAAAAAGUCUUUUCAAAAGCCAACGAAUUAAAUAAGAAAUUCCGUUAAAUUACUUUCAAUUUUGAUUACAUCAACGCAGCGGUGUACACACACACACACACACACAAACAAGCGCGCAGACGCUCACAUCACAGCAAAAGCGUAUCCAGCCCAAACCACCCACUCGCGCGGCCAAGCAGCAGGCGUACGUGUGUGCCAUUGACGUGCCUACAAGCGAGCACAUAGCCCAAGAGGCAAGCAGACGGACAGACAGACAGACAGACAAGUGCUACAAACCCAUACAUACCGCUACACACACACACACACACACACACACGUGUAUAUACGAGCACCUUGAACCUCAGCCGUAACUUUUUGCUCUUGUUGUUGUUGCCGUCGUCUAAUCAUCGUCGCACUUUGUCAUAGCUUCUGAUUGUUGAAGACAACGCAAAAACACUCGAAGGCACUUGAGUGCUUUGGAACUUUUAAUUGAAUUUUCAAAUGAUAUGGUAUCAACAGAAAGCUUUAAACGAACGCAACCAGCAGAGAUUAGCGUCAGUUAUUAAGCACUUAACCAUCAAUCGGCCUCAUUCCACCAUUUAAAUCUUUAAAUUGAAAUUUCCGCUAUAUUUAAAGAAUUGAAAAUUAAAAAAAUCUACUGGCGUUAUACAUUUCCAGAAAAGCUUUCAAG
Molecule: non-coding RNA, 1639 nt
Organism: Bactrocera oleae (olive fruit fly)
Lineage: Eukaryota; Metazoa; Arthropoda; Insecta; Diptera; Tephritidae
Source: RefSeq, a predicted model, not a curated record